UACAGAGGGGGCAAGCGUUGUUCGGAAUUACUGGGCGUAAAGGGCGCGUAGGCGGCCUUCUAAGUCGAACGUGAAAUCCCUGGGCUCAACCCAGGAACUGCGUCCGAUACUGGAAGGCUUGAAUCCGGGAGAGGGAUGCGGAAUUCCAGGUGUAGCGGUGAAAUGCGUAGAUAUCUGGAGGAACAUCAGUGGCGAAAGCGACUUCCUGGACCAAUACUGACGCUCAUGUGCGAAAGCGUGGGGAGCAAACAGG
This 253-nucleotide ribosomal RNA is filed under the name uncultured bacterium. RNAcentral's name for it is "partial 16S ribosomal RNA". It matches the Rfam family "Bacterial small subunit ribosomal RNA", at positions 524 to 776 of the family's 1533-position model. The record is from RNAcentral.